Molecule: ribosomal RNA, 373 nt
Filed under: uncultured bacterium
Lineage: Bacteria
Description: bacterial SSU rRNA
Rfam family: Bacterial small subunit ribosomal RNA
Source: RNAcentral
GGGAAUCUACCCAGUGGUACGGAAUAACUCGGGGCAAACUCGAGCUAAUACCGUAUGAGCCCUUCGGGGGAAAGAUUUAUCGCCAUUGGAAGAGCCCGCGUCGGCAUUAGGUAGUUGUGAGGUAAGUGGCUCACCAAGCCGACAUCCGUAGCUGGUCUGAGAGGAUGUAUCAGCCACAUCUGGGACUGAGCACACGGUCCAACAUUCAUACGGGAGGCAGCGUGGGGAAUAUUGGACUAAUGGGCGCAGCCUGAUCCAGCCAUGCCGCGUGUGUGAUGCACAGGCCGUUGGGUUGUAAAGCACUUUCGCCGGUGAAGAUAAUGACCGGUGACCGGAGAAGAAGCCCCGGUAAUNUUCGUGCCAGCCGCCGCGG